CAUCCUCUGAACUCUGCUGCCAGCUCAAGGGCAGCGCAGGGUGCUCCAGGCACAGGCAUGGCAUGUGGGAGCCCUGCAAAGUGGGAUGCAAGGGGAUAUCACAGAGCACCUGCUGGGAGGAAGGAGAGGAAGAGGAAGAGGAGGGGCAGAUGGAGAUCUUGUGAUGCAGUUGUCCUGAUGCUUUCACAUGCUCCUCCUCCUUCUGGGGUGUGGGAGUGGAAACCUGCUGUGCUGGGAGCUGCUGGCUGGGGUGAGAGGAGCAGAGAUGCAGUGCUCUGGGACAGUUCAUCCUGCUGACAUGAAUCUGCUGGCUUUUCUCCUGCCGCUACCUGUUGCUCUGAAUGGAUUCGGUGAAAGGAAGCUUUGGGAUGGCAACACUGAAAUUCUAAGCCCUGCAAGAAGAGCAGACGUCACAGCUCAUACUUCUGUGAACAACCAUGUUCAAGGAUGAAGCAUGGGAAGAGUGAAAUUUCAUCAGACAUCACCGGCCAACGCCAUGCGACCUCUCUGUGAGCUGCAGCCACUGCCCUGGAAUUAGACUGAUGCAUUAGCUUCACAGCAAGGUCACAUACCCCUCUAGUUUGAUGGC
Molecule: long non-coding RNA, 589 nt
Organism: Numida meleagris (helmeted guineafowl)
Lineage: Eukaryota; Metazoa; Chordata; Aves; Galliformes; Numididae
Exons: 3
Source: RefSeq, a predicted model, not a curated record